CAAUUCAGCAAAACACAAUCUCCAACAAAUUAGAAAGCUAGAACAGAAACAGAUUAAACCAACAGAAGCAAGAUAGCUAAGCAACUUGCCUUUAGUUCAAGACUCCUAAGAGCAAUGUUUCUGCUACUGCAUAAUCAAUUAAACUCUUGUUCAAGCUAAUAAUCCCAACAAUUCAGCUCUGCACACAAGUCUCACAACAA
Molecule: long non-coding RNA, 200 nt
Filed under: Vigna radiata
Lineage: Eukaryota; Viridiplantae; Streptophyta; Magnoliopsida; Fabales; Fabaceae
Description: long non-coding RNA (VRAD_LNC017478)
Source: RNAcentral